GAUGAACGCUGGCGGCGUGCCUAAUACAUGCCAGUCGAGCGAACGGACGAGAAGCUUGCUUCUCUGAUGUUAGCGGCGGACGGGUGAGUAACACGUGGAUAACCUACCUAUAAGACUGGGAUAACUUCGGGAAACCGUAGCUAAUACCGGAUAAUAUUUUGAACCGCAUGGUUCAAAAGUGAAAGACGGUCUUGCUGUCACUUAUAGAUGGAUCCGCGCUGCAUUAGCUAGUUGGUAAGGUAACGGCUUACCAAGGCAACGAUGCAUAGCCGACCUGAGAGGGUGAUCGGCCACACUGGAACUGAGACACGGUCCAGACUCCUACGGGAGGCAGCAGUAGGGAAUCUUCCGCAAUGGGCGAAAGCCUGACGGAGCAACGCCGCGUGAGUGAUGAAGGUCCUCGGAUCGUAAAACUCUGUUAUUAGGGAAGAACAUAUGUGUAAGUAACUGUGCACAUCUUGACGGUACCUAAUCAGAAAGCCACGGCUAACUACGUG
RNAcentral lists this ribosomal RNA (497 nucleotides) under uncultured bacterium. Its description in RNAcentral is "partial 16S ribosomal RNA". It matches the Rfam family "Bacterial small subunit ribosomal RNA", at positions 28 to 507 of the family's 1533-position model. The record is from RNAcentral.